CCUACGGGUGGCAGCAGUGGGGAAUCUUGGGCAAUGGGCGCAAGCCUGACCCAGCAACGCCGCGUGAAGGAAGAAGGCUUUCGGGUUGUAAACUUCUUUUAAGAGGGAAGAGCAGAAGACGGUACCUCUUGAAUAAGCCACGGCUAACUACGUGCAAGCAGCCACGGUAAUCUGUAGGUGGCAAGCGUUGUCCGGAUUUACUGGGUGUAAAGGGCGUGCAGCCGGGAUGACAAGUCAGAAGUGAAAUGCCGGGGCUCAACCGCGGAACUGCAUUUGAAACUGUUUUUCUUGAGUACAGGAGAGGUGAGCGGAAUUCCAUGUGUAGCGGUGAAAUGCGUAGAUAUAAGGAAGAACACCAGUGGCGAAGGCGGAUGACUGGACGGCAACUGACGGUGAGGCGCGAAAGCGUGGGGAGCAAACAGGAUUAGAUACCCGGGUAGUC
RNAcentral lists this ribosomal RNA (442 nucleotides) under uncultured bacterium. RNAcentral describes it as "partial 16S ribosomal RNA". It matches the Rfam family "Bacterial small subunit ribosomal RNA", at positions 338 to 795 of the family's 1533-position model. The record is from RNAcentral.